Oxyura jamaicensis (ruddy duck) is the source of this 1444-nucleotide long non-coding RNA. RefSeq lists it as uncharacterized. The transcript is spliced from 4 exons. The record is from RefSeq and is a predicted model, not a curated record. NCBI's taxonomy places the organism in Eukaryota, Metazoa, Chordata, Aves, Anseriformes, Anatidae.
UGCCUGGCACAGCAAUGUCCUAUUCAAUCUGUCAUCCUGUUCCUGUGCAUAUAUUUCAUAAUAAGGUGCUGCUUCAUGAAACAGAUGGAAAGGGGGGAGCAAAGUUUUGCAUUUCUUUGAACAGAGAAGUGGAUUAAUACUAGGUAUUUAACUACCUGCAGAGGUUCAAAGGAUUCCAAAGAACUGCAUGAAAGAUAUCCAGCACAUGCAUCAUUUGUUUCUCUUGUUCCAUAAGGGAAGAUAUACUACUUGGAUCAGCUGUACCCUCCUUGGAACAGGGUGCAAACCACUUAAUAAGUGGGAUUCAGCAGCUGAAGCACAGGUGUUUAGUGAGUGACAUUGCAGCUCCUGGUGUUCAAGAUAUCCAUGUCAGGAUGGCCAAAAUGCCACAGGGCUGACAAGAAGCCCAUAUCCUUCCUGCAAGUCACAUAGAGCCGAGACAGAAUACACUCUACAGUAUCUAAAAUGUUGCUUAGAUUUAUCUAAAAGAUAAUUUGGUAUAAAAACCUUUCUGUUCUCAUAAUUUUACUACAAUUUCUCUUUGUAGUAAGCUCUCUAUUCUGUGAAAAAUAACGAGAAAAAAAAAGCAAUAGAAAUGAAGGUUGAAAAAUAAAAUAAAUAAAAAUAAAAUAACAGUAAAAAUGAAAGAAAGAACAAAACACCAGAUGAGCCAAUAGACUUUGGCCUCUCCAACAAACAAAAGGUGUUCUUGAACAAAAGGUGUUCAAGAUUCCAGAAAGUUAGGAAUUUGAAAAAAUAUUUCAGGGAAAGUAUUUCCUCUCUGCAAACCUGAAAUGUAUGCCAUCACAGCCCUGCUUUCUUAGUUAAUAUGUAAAAUUAGUUUUUGAAAAGUCAGUGGAAGACUACCAUCAUUUUAUUAUUUUGUAGAAUCUGAAUAUAGUUUCUUGAUUCAGUGCUCCUGUUACUAUGCUCGGUUUCUACUGUUAUGAGCAAUAUCAAAAAGCUGCUCACAGAUCAUUUAAUAUUUUUUUUUUUUUUUUCCCUGAGUGUUUGUUUCCCAAUAUAUAUUUUAGAGAGAAUAUGUCUUGGACCAAAAACUUGUCUCUGAAAGCUAUCAAGUCUUGUUAAAAAAAGUUCUGAAUUCUCCUAGUCAGAAUAUAUAUUCUGUCCUAUAUACUUAUUUCUUAAUACAAAGAAAAACAAAUGUAUCUGUUGUCUGAACCAGUCAUUGUCUGAAUCUGACAUUGUCUUGAUGAUAUUUUCAUACAUCAUUUUGUACUUUCAUACGUCUCUGUGCUUUCAAACAUCGUCUGUACUUUCCAAUUUAUUUUGUGUGUUCUGGCAAUUAAGGUUCAAGGUCAUUCUGAAAUUCUGCUUAGCAUAUCACAGAACUUCUGUAGUGAAUAAUUCCCUCUUACUACUUACAUGAAUUUAUUUUCAAAAUUGUCUUGCAAAACCUAAUUCUGUUUUUAUAUAUAUAUAU